This 1537-nucleotide long non-coding RNA is filed under the name Sus scrofa (pig). RNAcentral describes it as "lncRNA (ENSSSCG00060023457.1)". The record is from RNAcentral. Lineage: Eukaryota; Metazoa; Chordata; Mammalia; Artiodactyla; Suidae.
CUUCUUAUUGGGUUUAGAUUUUCUGAAGCAAACUGAGUAAGAUUUAUCUUUUCUGAGUCUAGUGGUUUUAAGUUUUUGAAACCAAAGCUUCAAAGACAGAAGAACAGGAUCGUCAAGCAGUUGGGGCCACCCAAGCAAAGGCCUGAAGCUUCUAGCCAGGCCAUUUGUUCUGGUCAUGUUUUGGGGCCUAAGACAAUUGUUUGGGAAGAAAACUUGGGAUUCCACAGCAAGCGUAAUACAAUAUAGAUAUUAUUGUUAAGGAGAGUUUAUUUUUAUAGUGAUGAAGUUUUCCAAUAAUUAAAAGGGUGAUCAAGUGGUAUUAUGGGAGAUUAUUUCUCAGUGGACUAUGUAGAUGAGCAAUCCUUCUCUUCAUAGGAUAUUUUAGAAUUUAGUUUACUCUAAAAUAUGAACCCUUAAGUUAAUAAACAGGGUGGCAUUUGGUGCCAAGGAUUAAAUAUUUACUGGUAAAAUAUACAGUGAUGAAAAGGAUUUUCCAACAGGCGAUAAAUCAAAUAGUCUGAGCUCUGUAUUAAAUAUUAUUUUUAUCAGGGAAAAAAUAAAACUUGGCCCAUGGAACAAAGUUAACCCAUUGUUGUGGAUUCCUGGAGCCUAACUUGUGAGGAUCAGCAGACAUUCCUUUUAAAAACCAGGAAGUCCAGUGGACUUGCCAAAGUGCACACACUUAGUGAGGAGCAGAACAGCUGUAAAUACUUAUAUAUGCACCGGUUGUUGGAACCCAGGCUGUGUCUCAAUGAAGAUAAUGAAUCAAUUAUUGAAAGUAAACCAGCAAAUGGGAUUUUACACAGAUCAAGACCAAAGGAAACCUCGUGCCUGUUUGUCUAGAUUAGGGGAAGGUAAUUGCUGCAACCCACAGUGACUAAGGAAUUUGGUUUUACCCUUAGAAGUAGCGUUUAUCACAAGCUGAAUAACUUGAGUUCAAUCUACUGUCAGAGUCCACCAAUUGCCAGGGUUGGGUGCUGAGAACCAGACAAGGCAGGAGAAAGAGGAAAGGCCUCUCUGGAAUGCUCAGUUAUUGCAAUAAAGACUCUUCUAAGAAACAAUAGAACCAAUAGUGCCCUUUACUGGAACAAGAACUGAAGACACAAAGAGGAGAUAAGGUUGUCCUAACACACGAGAAGCUUCAAGACUAAGAAGGUGGCAUGAGCAGAGAAAUAGGAUGCACCUCCUUGAAAAGACAUAGGACACAAAGAAAACAUGACUUUAAAUAAAUUUCAGGAGUUCCCUUCGUGGCACAGUGGAAAUGAAUCUGACUAGGAAUCACAAGGUUGCGGGUUUGAUCCCUGGCUUUGCUCAGUGGGUUAAGAAUCUGGCAUUGCCUUGAGCUGUGGUGUAGGUUGCAGACAUGGCUCAGCUCUGAUGUCACUGUGGCUGUGGUGUAGGCCAGCAGCUGUAGCUUGGAUUUGACCCCAAGCCUGGAAACCUCCAUAUGUCACGGCUGCAGCCCUUAAAAACAAAACAAACAAGCAAACAAAAAACUCAAAUUAUACACAUAAAUUCUUUCUCCUCUGUCUACCCA